CAUGUGUAAGCGAAGCUUUUAGCGGAGCGGUGAAAGGCUCAGUAACGGGCGAUUUAUUUGAUCUCCUGGGACGGACAACAUCGGGAAACUGAUGGGAAAACGUCUAAGUUGCAGUUAGAUGAUUGUGACGUAAACCAUAUGGGUGCAGGAGAGUAAGAUGCCAUCCUAUCAGUUAGUAAGUAGGGUAAGUGCCUACUUAGACGAAGACGGGUACGGGGAAUGAGGGUUUGAUUCCGGAGAGGGAGCCUGAGAGAUGGCUACCAGGACCAAGGUCAGCAGCAGGCGCGAAAAUUAUCGAAGCCCGCCGAGGGGCGAUAGUGAGGAGACGUGUAUAACGAAGUGCGUGUAAAGAACGUGCUAAUAACUGGAGGUCAAGUCUGGUGCCAGCAUCCGCGGUAAUUCCAGCUCCAGGGGUGUCUAUGAUGAUUGCUGCGAUUAAAAAGUCCGUAGUCAAUCUGACUGACUGGCCUGCAAUGUGAUUGAUUAAAGAACGAGCAGGGCUAGGAAAGCAGAGAAUUAGGAGCGACCGGAGGGCUAGAGUAUUGAAUGGCGAGAGGUGAAAUUUGAUGACCCAUUCAGGAGUGACAAAGGCGAAGGCACUAGUCAAGGGCGAAUCCGAUGAUCAAGGACGUAGGCUAGAGUUUCGAAAACGAUUAGAGACCGGAGUAGUUCUAGCAGUAAACUAUGCCGACACCGUGGUAUCUAAUUUUAACAGGUAUUGCGGAAGAGAAAUCAAGUAACGCUUUGGGGAGAGUACGCGCGCAAGCGAUAAAUUUAAAGGAAAUUGACGGAGGAACACCACAAGGAAUGGAGUGUGCGGCUUAAUUUGACUCAACGCGGGACAGCUUACCAGGCCCGAUAAUCGAGCGAGCGUAGUACGCGAUAGGUUAAAGAGUGGUGCAUGGCUGCUAUCGACAGUUGGGGUGACCUUAGGGUUAAUUCCGGCAAGUAGUGAGACCCCUGCAGAUAGUGGACAGGUAUUUUUAAGAUACAGGAAGGAAGGGACAAGAGCAGGUCAGUGAUGCCCUUAGAUGGCCUGGGCUGCACGCGCACUACAGUGGUCAUUAUAAGAUGAAGUUAGAAGUAAAGAUGAUCGAGAGGGACUGAGCUUUGUAAGAGGCUCACGAACGAGGAAUUGCUAGUAAUCGUAGGCUCAUUAAGAUACGAUGAAUAUGUCCCUGUACCUUGUACACACCGCCCGUCGUUAUCGAAGAUGGAAUUGUGUGCGAACGAGCAUCAAGCGAGUGAGCGCAUAGUUCUAGACGUGAUAAAAGUCGUAACAAGGUAAC
This 1289-nucleotide ribosomal RNA is filed under the name Dictyocoela sp. RNAcentral's name for it is "partial small subunit ribosomal RNA". It matches the Rfam family "Microsporidia small subunit ribosomal RNA". Lineage: Eukaryota; Fungi; Microsporidia. The record is from RNAcentral.